Molecule: long non-coding RNA, 846 nt
Organism: Drosophila novamexicana
Lineage: Eukaryota; Metazoa; Arthropoda; Insecta; Diptera; Drosophilidae
Exons: 3
Source: RefSeq, a predicted model, not a curated record
CCUCUCAUUUAGUGAAAUAUACAAGUAUUUAUUUAAUUAUUAAAAUGGCAUUGCUAAUUUCAUUCGAAUAAAACUGAAUUUAUGUGAAUUCAUCAUUAUGUUUAAUGUACAGUUCCAAUACUCACAAGGUAAAUGGAUGUUUUGCUGCCCUUUUAAGUCUAGCAAAGCGGUUCCUUCAGUUUCAGACUUAAAUGCAGAAUUGGACAGAAUUUCUGCACACUGUGCGCCUUUUUCAGGUGGUAAUGACUGUGUCUUAAAUCAUAACACUCCUCACGUCCACAAAGCCUCGCGCAGAUGGAUGAUAUAAAUAGUCGCCGAGCAUGUUCUUGCUCCUGAUGCAAUGCUCUGACCGCUGCCUUCCCAUCGGCCAGGCUGUGGCAAGGAGAUCGGAGAAUAAGAGGCUCGCCAUACUUUUAAGCAAAUAACUUUAAAUCGAGCUGUUUCACGUCUUUAAGCAGUUUUUGUCGACCGAAAAAUAGAGAUGGAUAUGGAGAGGAGUGAUAGAAAUGUCGAUAACACAAGUAAUAUACAUUACUAAUCACGGUAGUGUUUGAAAAUCGAUAACAGUCGCAAUAUACAUCCAACUCGGUUGGCAAACGAAGCGAUGAGUAUUCAUUCAGACUAAUCGGUAGCAAUUACAGGAGCAGCAACGUUGCAUCUAAAAGGACCAAUAAGGAAUCUUUAGAUUAGGCAAGAGUCAAAAUGGAAACUAUCAAUUUGUAGCCGCAACUUAAUUAGCUGAUUGCUUACUGACUGCCAAAAAACAAAGCGUCAACUCCCCCAUUCAAUGAAUUAUUCAAUAGAAGAGUAAACGAAUGGUCAAGAGCAAAAUAAAAAAAAGGAAUA